RNAcentral lists this ribosomal RNA (468 nucleotides) under Triticum aestivum (bread wheat). RNAcentral describes it as "partial small subunit ribosomal RNA". The record is from RNAcentral. Lineage: Eukaryota; Viridiplantae; Streptophyta; Magnoliopsida; Poales; Poaceae.
AUGUUUUUCUUACCAGUCCCGCUGGAGGAUGGCUGGAUAGCACUGAUGUGGGACAUGAUGGAGAGGAAGCUCCAUGUCCUUCACCCACUCAUCAAAGGUGAUGGUCCUAGCGAACCAACGAAAGACAAGCUCGAGCUGGUUGCCUGGAAACUUCACCACGCGCUGUUCGACUGCCUUAAUGAGUAUUAUGCUGGAUGGCCCACGCAAGAUGGCCAGUGGGUGACCAAGUACCCAGUCUUAGCUGAAGAACAUUUUAGCAGAGAUGAAAUUGGCGCGUGUGUGCUCCAUAUCUGCCGACACUAUGAUGGCGUCAAUCUGAAGAUUCCCCUUACCAAGUACAAUGCCGGCAAAACAAAAAGGCAAGCACUACACGAGUGUGUCAAACUACAGGGGAACUCAUCGAAGCUGGCGCACGAGGCUCUGUGGACGGUACUAGCACCCACUGACUCAUGUCUUAGCGACACGUAG